This is a long non-coding RNA of Homo sapiens (human), 1455 nucleotides long. The record is from Ensembl. Lineage: Eukaryota; Metazoa; Chordata; Mammalia; Primates; Hominidae.
GGGAGGUGACGCCGGGAGGUCCCGGCUGAGAGCGCCGGCUGCCGGCUGGGGACCUGGUGAGUGUGAAGCUGUAACCUUCUGCUGGGGCCGGGGCCGAAGUUUUUCCGCCAGAGCAAGGAAGGCUGCCCCUGGCAGCAACUGCACUCCUUCCUUACUCCUGUUGAGAUUCAUUUUAUAGUAGGAAAUAGGCAUCUAACUACCAUACAAGUUCAGACCAAUGGAAGAAAAGAGCAGCAAAAAUUGAACUGAAUGAAUCCCAAAAGCAAGAAAUUAAAGACGCCUUUAAUUUAUUUGAUAUUGAUGGGUCUGGAACCAUCGAUGUAAAAGAAGGAAAUGCUUGAUGAAGCUGAUCAUGAUAGAGAUGGAGAAAUAAACGAGGAAGAUGUUUUGAGAGUGAUGAAAAAGACUACUCGUUAUUAAUAGCGUUGUUUUAGUCCUUGUGGAAAAUUAACAAAUUUGUAUUUGUUAUGCAGUUUUAUAAUUUAAUAUCUGAAUGUAUUCAUUUUCAGUUUUUAGUUUAUAUGUACACAUUGGCUUCUUGAUGUCUAAUCCAUGUAAGAAGUUACACAUCUCUACCAAUAUGAUGUUAAAUCUACAGCAUCAAGAAACAAAACAUAAUGACUUCUUUGAGCCAUUAAUCCAAGAACAGUAUUGAUUCUAGCUGCUCUUUUGAGAACCUUAGGUCACAAAGACUUAGAAUUUUAAAGUUUGAUGAAGUUGGCUUCACAUCCAAAUGAAUUUGGCAAACAAAACUUAUAUUUUCCUUUUGUGCAACCCAAAAAAACCUGAUGAACAUUUGCUUUUUAGUCAGUUACUCAAAUACAUAAAGUAUUAAAUAGAACUGUCUGGAAACAUUAUUUGCUAAUUUUCUUCUUUUAGUUAUAAAGAAAAUUCAAAAUAGCACUUACAUCACCCAUAUUUCCCUGUAAGUUUGACUCUAUAGUGAGCACUUAAUACCUCUGUGCUAGGACAGGUGGUGUAGAGUUUUAUUUUUAAAAAAUUUUAUUUAUAUAUUUUUUGAGACAAAAUCUCCCUCUGUCACCCAGGCUGGAGUGCAGUGGUGCGAUCUCGGCUCAAUGCAACCUCUGCCUCCUGGGCUCAAGAGAUUCUCCUGCCUCAGCCUCCCGAGUAGCUGGGACUACAGGUACCUGCCACCAUGCCUAGCUAAUUUUUUGCAUUUUUAGUAGAGACGGAGUUUCACUGUGUUAGCCAUGAUGGUCUCAAUCUCCUGACCUCAUGAUCUGCCUACCUCAGCCUCCCAAACUGCUGGGAUUACAGGGGUGAGCCACCGUGCCUGGCCGAGAUUUUAUGUGUUAACCUCAGUAAACAUAUUACAAGUUGGAAGCUGAUUGUAUUAGCUCCAUUUUACAUACAAGAAAACUAAAGUUCAGAGAAGUUUUAAAAAUUCCCCAGUUGCCCAUUGAUAAGAAAUAAAACAUGGAUUCCAAAUCUUAA